RNAcentral lists this ribosomal RNA (264 nucleotides) under uncultured bacterium. RNAcentral's name for it is "partial 16S ribosomal RNA". It matches the Rfam family "Bacterial small subunit ribosomal RNA", at positions 90 to 354 of the family's 1533-position model. The record is from RNAcentral.
UUCGAGUGGCGGACGGGUGAGUAACGCGUGGGUAACCUGCCUUACACAGGGGGAUAACACCUGGAAACAGGUGCUAAUACCGCAUAAGCGCACAGGGCCGCAUGGCCCGGUGUGAAAAACUCCGGUGGUGUAAGAUGGACCCGCGUCUGAUUAGCUUGCUGGCGGGGUAGGGGCCCACCAAGGCGACGAUCAGUAGCCGGCCUGAGAGGGUGGACGGCCACAUUGGGACUGAGACACGGCCCAAACUCCUACGGGAGGCAGCAG